This 1092-nucleotide long non-coding RNA is filed under the name Ursus maritimus (polar bear). RNAcentral describes it as "lncRNA (ENSUMAG00000017158.1)". Lineage: Eukaryota; Metazoa; Chordata; Mammalia; Carnivora; Ursidae. The record is from RNAcentral.
GCACCUUCGGGAGCCUGCCAGGUCUGCUGUGAAGUGUGGCGUGGGCCUCGAGUAAGGACACGGCAGCAUCCCACAGGUGUAGGGCAGCUGCCUGCACGCGCUCACAGUUAACAACCCAGCAGACACUGGGAAACAGGAUCUUCGUAAAAAUCAGGCAAUGGCUACUAGCAUUAUCGACUCACACACACACAUACACACCACGCACCACACACACACACCUAUCACACCACACACCCCACACACCACACCCACCCACCAUACCACAUACACAGACACCCACCACACACACCACACACACACACACACCACACACACCACACCACAUACCACACCACACACACCCACCACACACACACCCCCACCACACCACACACCACACACACACACACCACACACCACACCACACACCACACACACACACACCACACCACACCACACACCACACCACACACACACAUACACACACACCACAAACCACACACACCACACACGACACACACACACCACACUACAUACACAGACACCCACCAUACACACACACCACACACCACACCACACACACCAAACCACAGACCCAGACCCCCACCACACACACAUCACACACACCACACACCACACACACACAUAACACAUACACACACACCACACACACCACACCACACACACACACCACACACACACAUCACACAUACACACCACACCACACACACCACACCACACACCACACCACACACACACCACACCACAUACACAGACACCCACCACACACACACACCACACACCACACCACACACACCAUACCACAUACACAGACACCCACCACACACACAUCACACACACCACACACACACACACACACACAUAACACAUACACACACACUACACCACACACACACACCACACACACACAUAACACAUACACACACACCACACCACACACACACACCACACACACACAUAACACAUACACACACACCACACCACACACACACAUAACACAUACACACACACCACACUACACAUACACACCACACCGCACACACCACACCACACACCACACCACACACACACACACCACACACAAUUUAUCUU